This 228-nucleotide long non-coding RNA is filed under the name Paramuricea clavata. The record is from RNAcentral. Lineage: Eukaryota; Metazoa; Cnidaria; Anthozoa; Malacalcyonacea; Plexauridae.
CGCUGAUUGGCUAAGAGCCGUGUUGAUAUAACUCCACGUCAACACGGGAAAUUUUCCGCCGCUUGUUAACACGGAAAUUUUUCUUAUUCUUCGGGCUUUUGACAUUGCUAUAUUAUAAAACAAAUAUAAAACAUUUUUUCCGUAUUGAUAUAUAGUUAUAUCAACACUCGUGGAAGUUGGGAAAACUCGAAAUUGUGUGAAAACACUCCGCCCUUCGGGCGUCGUGUU